RNAcentral lists this transfer RNA (65 nucleotides) under Macrodorcas seguyi. RNAcentral describes it as "tRNA-Phe". Lineage: Eukaryota; Metazoa; Arthropoda; Insecta; Coleoptera; Lucanidae. The record is from RNAcentral.
ACUUAAAUAGCUUAAUUAGAGCAGGAUAUUGAAGAUGUCUCGGUGAUUUUUAUAAUCUUUAAGUA